AUGUCAGUUUUCACUUAACAUAUUAUAUAUUCAGUUCUGAUAUUCAAAUGGUAUCAUCCUACUUGCGUUUCGGAAAAUAUAUACAGUCUAAGGCCCUGUUCGUUUCAUCAGUAAGAUGGAUCAUUUGGAUGGAGAUGAGUUUUGAUGUUCGUUUGGUGCCAAAAACGGUUCAUUCAGAUGAUCCAUCCAAAUGAAUCAUCUGGAUGAGUUUGAAAAUUUAGGCUAAAUUUUGAAACUCAUUUGGCUGAACUAAAUUGGAUCAUUUGGAUGGAGAUGAUUCAAUCUAAAAUAACAAAUGACAAAAAUACCCUAAUUAUUUCAAUUGAUUAUUUAUAUGUAUUUUUAGAUAAAAUAAAUAAAUAGAUUUAAAUCUUAUUUUACAAUUAUUUUUUAAA
Molecule: small RNA, 395 nt
Filed under: Arabidopsis thaliana (thale cress)
Lineage: Eukaryota; Viridiplantae; Streptophyta; Magnoliopsida; Brassicales; Brassicaceae
Description: ATSL179070
Source: RNAcentral